This is a long non-coding RNA of Pyrus x bretschneideri (Chinese white pear), 670 nucleotides long. RefSeq lists it as uncharacterized. Lineage: Eukaryota; Viridiplantae; Streptophyta; Magnoliopsida; Rosales; Rosaceae. The transcript has 2 exons. The record is from RefSeq and is a predicted model, not a curated record.
UAAUUAAGUGUGGUAGCGAGAGGGCCUUAAGUAAGAACAAGGAGGACGAUUCUGCUUGUAUACAGCAGACUUUCCGGUCACCAUUGUCGGCCAAGUGACGUAGAAUGCUUUGUCCUCUUUUAAGUGGCAGCUUCUUCAGCGUUGGACAUUCUUCUCCCAAGAUUUCGGCAUCUUGUACAAACUGAAGGCCAAGGAAGCCCACGUGAUUCGUCAUCAUUGAUAUCCGAGGAUCCUUACGUGCUCGUUCUGCACAAUAAAUUUCAAAUUCCUCCAAAUUAGGAUAUUCCACAACGUGAAGGAUAUGAACAUGUUUCAUAUUCUUCAGAGAUGAUAUAUCUACAACAUUUGAGUGAUUCUUUCCGUCCUAGAGGUGGAGAGUUCGAGUGCAGGUCAUCAAAAGCAUAAAGACAGAAAUUCGUCUGGAGCUUUACCAGCGCCAGUUCCAAAGAGACGAACAUGAAAUACCUGUUACAAAUAGCAUGGCUACUGGUCUUUCGAAUGUAUAUUCUGAUGUUCAUGAAAUCUUAAAGUAAGUCUGUUCUUUUACUAUUUCUGCAUGUGAAGAUUAAGACCUAUUGUGCUAAAUCUGAAACCAAAGAUAUCCAGAACGGGCCAUCUUGGGUUGGGCCCAAACACGACAGGGGUUUAAGUUCCUGUUGUGUUGCCACAA